AGGAACACGUACGCAACAUACCCUUCUCUGGGGCAUAGCCCGAAGGAAUUCGGAUUAACACCCCAUAAGAUCGUAGAGUGGCAUCACUUAGCGAUUAAAAAUUUAUUGGAGAGGGAUUGGCGUGCGUCCUAUUAGCUAGUUGGUGCGGGUAAUGGCCCACCAAGGCGACGAUAGGUAGCUGGUGUGAGAGCACGACCAGCCACACGGGCACUGAGACACGGGCCCG
This 226-nucleotide ribosomal RNA is filed under the name uncultured bacterium. RNAcentral describes it as "partial 16S ribosomal RNA". It matches the Rfam family "Bacterial small subunit ribosomal RNA", at positions 109 to 334 of the family's 1533-position model. The record is from RNAcentral.